Long non-coding RNA from Gossypium arboreum, 439 nucleotides. RefSeq lists it as uncharacterized. The transcript is spliced from 2 exons. NCBI's taxonomy places the organism in Eukaryota, Viridiplantae, Streptophyta, Magnoliopsida, Malvales, Malvaceae. The record is from RefSeq and is a predicted model, not a curated record.
AGUGGAGAUCAAGAUGGUAUAAUACCGAUAGAGGGAACCUUACAACAUUUGGAAAAGUUGGCCGGGGAGUUAAACAUCAAGUUAACAAAAGAGGAAACAUGGAAUUCUGGAACCAAGGAAGGAGGAUUGAAGUAUGAAUUCGGGGACUUACUAAAAUUCUUGACGGUGAAGGGAGGUAAUCAUCAUGUUACAUCUUCUCGACCAUCACAAGCUUUUUCUAUUUUCUCCAAUUUCACAAUUAAUUGGAUGCAUUGAGGAUUGGUGAUGAAACUUAGGGAGCACACAAUCAUUCACUAUAAUAAGACUUGUUGUUGUAAUAAUUUAUUGUGAUGAUAUGUAUUAUUUUAUGAUGCAUGGACAUCAUAAAUUUUUAUAUUAUGCAAUAAUAUAAUUAGUUAAAUCAUCUGAUAUCUAACAAAUAAUUAUUAUUUUAAUAAAA